UCUUCAAUGUCAUCAUGGAUAAUUCAUGGAUCUUGAUGAAAACAAAUCAGAUUUCAUGUGUAGAGGACUGAAAUCUAUGAGUUUGUGAAAUUUUUAACAGAUUUAGAUUCAGCUUUAUUUGUCACAUCCAUAACACACGUUACAGAAAACAUGGGAGCAAAAUGUGGUCCUCCACCGGUCAGGGUGCAGGUCACAUUCAAAAACAACAUAUUAUAUCACAUUUAGACACAUUAUCCAUGUGACAUAAAACGUAAAACACACAUAAAAAGAUAGCAGCGAUAAAAACUUAGCAGUCAAAUACUGGUUAAUAAAGAAAAAGUUGAACUGGGAAGGUGACUGGGUGGAAUAAAGAGAAGCUGUUUUUAUUCAUUAAUAUUUUGGAUGAAAUGGUUAAAUUACACUUUGCUGAUAUCAACCUUUCGUUUUCCUUUUCACAGUUACAAAGCCAAAGAGAUAAAGGCUGGAUCCAGUGCAGCCUUCUUCACUUGAGACCACUUUUAAUAACAAAGAUAGCACAAGUCCUGCCGACAGCUCUGUCUCAAAAGAACAGGAAAGAAAGGAGUAGAACGAUUGGUUGGAUGCAGAGUUUAAAGAAUUAGAUCCUGAAGAGAUGGCUAGAUGUGGGGUGAAUGAAGCCUAUUCUGUCCUGCCAGAAAAACAGCAGAAAAAUGACCAACUACAAACAGACAACGCAAACAAUUCAACAACAAUGUCCUCGGUUGGAAGAAAUGGCCAAAUUACACUUUGCCGAUAUCCACCUUUUGUUUUCCUUAUUAAUUAAAAAGCCAAAGAGAUCGAGGAUGGAUCCAGUUAAAGAGUGUAAUCCACCAAAGUCUCAGCAGAUGAUGGAUGAAGCCUCCACUGCUGCCAACAGCUCUGUUCCAGAGGAAGAGGGAUUAGAUGAGUCGUUCGAUAUGAUGGCUGAAGAGUAUGACAAACAGAUAAAUUACAAAAACUACAAAAAGAGAAGAUGAUCUCAGACUCCCUGUGUCCCAAGGUCAACAGCUUUGCAUUCAACUAUCCAGAAACGGAAGUGGCUCAACAUUUUGACCCCAUGUUUUGGCCAAAUUACACUUUGCUGAUAUCCACCUUCGGUUUUCCUUAUUAGUUACAAAGCCAAGGAGAUAGGAUGGAUCCAGUUGAAGAGGGUAAUCUACCAAAGCAGAUGAGGAUGGGUGAAGCCUCCACUGAUGCCAACAUCUCCGUCACAGGAGACGAGGGAUUGGAUGAAUGGAUUGAAAUGAUGCCUAAAGAGUAUGACAAACAGGUAAAAGUACGGUUCAAACUCAGAAGGACUCCUUUACCCCCUGUGGAUUACAAAAAGAUGCCUCGAAUCCAGAAACAGAAGUGGCUCAACAGGAAGUUACCUACAAGACUAUUUCCUGGUGAAAGUGUGGAGACGGAAACGACAGAUGGACGUACAGAAAGGGAAGAUGGGAAAUAAGAAGUGAAAGAAGAUGUACGAUUAAUGUACCAAUGCCAUCAGUUUCAAAAAUAAAUUU
Hippoglossus stenolepis (Pacific halibut) is the source of this 1502-nucleotide long non-coding RNA. RefSeq lists it as uncharacterized. NCBI's taxonomy places the organism in Eukaryota, Metazoa, Chordata, Actinopteri, Pleuronectiformes, Pleuronectidae. The transcript has 3 exons. The record is from RefSeq and is a predicted model, not a curated record.